Molecule: ribosomal RNA, 497 nt
Filed under: uncultured bacterium
Lineage: Bacteria
Description: partial 16S ribosomal RNA
Rfam family: Bacterial small subunit ribosomal RNA
Source: RNAcentral
GAUGAACGCUGGCGGCGUGCCUAAUACAUGCAAGUCGAGCGAACAGACGAGGAGCUUGCUCCUCUGACGUUAGCGGCGGACGGGUGAGUAACACGUGGAUAACCUACCUAUAAGACUGGGAUAACUUCGGGAAACCGGAGCUAAUACCGGAUAAUAUAUUGAACCGCAUGGUUCAAUAGUGAAAGACGGUUUUGCUGUCACUUAUAGAUGGAUCCGCGCCGCAUUAGCUAGUUGGUAAGGUAACGGCUUACCAAGGCAACGAUGCGUAGCCGACCUGAGAGGGUGAUCGGCCACACGGGAACUGAGACACGGUCCAGACUCCGACGGGGGGCCGCAGUCGGGAAUCUUCCGCAAGGGGCGAAAGCCUGACGGAGCAACGCCGCGUGAGUGAUGAAGGUCUUCGGAUCGUAAAACUCUGUUAUUAGUGAAGAACAAAUGUGUAAGUAACUAUGCACGUAUUGACGGUACCUAAUCAGAAAGCCACGGCUAACUACGUG